AACACAUGCAAGUCGAGCGGAAAGGCCACUUCGGUUGUACUCGAGCGGCGAACGGGUGAGUAACACGUGAGUAAUCUGCCCCUGGCUUUGGGAUAGCCACCGGAAACGGUGAUUAAUACCGGAUAUGACAGCUUCUCGCAUGAGAUGGUUGUGGAAAGUUUUUCGGCCAGGGAUGUGCUCGCGGCCUAUCAGCUUGAUGGUGAGGUAAUGGCUCACCAUGGCUUCGACGGGUAGCCGGCCUGAGAGGGUGACCGGCCACACUGGGACUGAGACACGGCCCAGACUCCUACGGGAGGCAGCAGUGGGGAAUAUUGGACAAUGGGCGGAAGCCUGAUCCAGCAACGCCGCGUGAGGGAUGACGGCCUUCGGGUUGUAAACCUCUUUCGGUGGGGACGAAGCGCAAGUGACGGUACCUG
RNAcentral lists this ribosomal RNA (416 nucleotides) under grassland soil clone sl3_804. RNAcentral describes it as "bacterial SSU rRNA". It matches the Rfam family "Bacterial small subunit ribosomal RNA", at positions 50 to 481 of the family's 1533-position model. The record is from RNAcentral.